Molecule: long non-coding RNA, 957 nt
Organism: Eubalaena glacialis (North Atlantic right whale)
Lineage: Eukaryota; Metazoa; Chordata; Mammalia; Artiodactyla; Balaenidae
Exons: 3
Source: RefSeq, a predicted model, not a curated record
AUCUGACAUGGAUAGCACCAAAAACGAGGUCUCAGCAGGGCUGGUUCUUUCUGGAAGCGCUGGGGACAAUCUGUUUCCUUGUCUCUUGGCUUUCUAGUGGCUGCCUGCAUUCCAUCGUUCCUUCCACCAUCUUAAAGCCGACAGCAGAAUCAAAUCAGCAGGAGCUGGCACGUGGAGGAACCGUUGUUGGCUGAAUGUUGCCUCCACUCUUCCCUCUGUGAGCCCAUGUCUGCAGCCUCUCCUGGCAGAGAACCACAGGGUUCAGUGCCGAGUGAACCUCAGGGGAGAAGUCAUGUGUCCUCAGGGGAGAAGUCACCUGCAGGAUUACCCACACCUGGAAUUUCUUGUUGACACGCGACCACCUUGGUCCUGCUGACGCCCCUUCUCAGGAUGCUGAUUCUUCCUCGGGGCAUGUUGCAGCUUGCAGACUCACCGGAAGACGCCAAUAACUACUAAUGGAAAGAUAUGAUGCCGAGGAUUCUACACACUCUUCUGACGCCUUUCUCCAUAAGAAAUCAGACUUUCUGUCCCUGCACCAUGGGGGGAACCUGCCUAGUGGUAUUUCUGCUGGCAGCCAUGUCCUCAGAGACCCAGCCCUGAGCCACCUCCUACAGCAGGGAACUCGUUUUCCCGUGGGGUGUUUAGGUAAAAGGAAUUUGUAUGCCAGUGGCUUCUUAGGAAUCUUUCUUUAAAAUCAUAGGAAAGGAAUACUGACAGAGAUCUGAGUAAGGUUUUGUUACCCACCAGCCUCAAAAGUUCCAGAAGGGCUCGAAACGUUCCUACAGCCAACAGCAGCCUGGUCUACUCCCAUGGGGUCAUUCAUACCCUGGGAGGGUCUGGCUGGAUUUUUUCCAUUAUCUCUUGGAUUUCUUUAUGUUUUUGUUUAAUUUUGUUUUCCUCUUUUUUCUUUACACUGCCUGAGGAUCAUAUGACCUUUCUGAUAAAAUCUGAAUUUGG